Molecule: long non-coding RNA, 3859 nt
Filed under: Homo sapiens (human)
Lineage: Eukaryota; Metazoa; Chordata; Mammalia; Primates; Hominidae
Description: HSALNT0224069
Source: RNAcentral
UUUUAGUAGAGAUGGGGUUUCACCACAUUGUUUAGGCUGGUCUUCAUUUUACAUUUCUCUCUCUGAAAUUAUCUUAUUUACCUAUUUGUUUAGGUGUUAGAAGUGGAAGAAUUUCUAAUUUCCACUAAAAAUUGAAGGAUGAGAGCAGGGUUUUGGUUCUCUUGCCUCUCCCAUGCGACCCCAUAGAAGCACUAAAAAAAAUUGUUUGAAAAUGAAUCAUGUAAAGAAUGAAUGAAGGAAGCUGCUACAUUUACAGCAGACUAAAGGGCUAUAGCAGAGUUUCCUGCAGAUGUGUGAAGAACCAUCCUGGAACACAUCAAGGGAACUGUGGUAUAAGACUUACUCCAGACAUAAGAGUAAUCCUUACACUUAGGAUUAGCAAGUGGAAUUUAAGGAGUCUCAAUUUGGCUCAAAAUAAGCAGGAGCUUUUUGCUAAUUUGGCCAGUCUGACAAUAGUACAAAUAGCACAAAGUCGUAAUAGAGUUGUACUGAAAGCAAAUAACCAAACAAUGCAUAAUUGUGAAUUGGAGAAAUUAUACAACACAGCCUUUAUAAAUAGAAAGCUGAACUAAAUAAAGGCUAAAGUCAUCUACAUCUGAAGAACCUCUCCAUGCAUAGUACCUAAUAUGGUUUAGAUAUAUCGCCACCCAAAUCUCUUGUGGAAUUGUAGGUCCCAUAAUCCCCAUGUGUCAUGGGAGGGACCUAGUGGGAGGUAACUGAGUCGGGGGCUGGGUUUUUCCCAGGCUGUUAUCAUGAUAGUGAAUACGUAUCAUGAGAUAUGAUAGUUUUAUAAAGCAUAGUUCCCCUGCACACACUGUCUUGCCUGCCUCCACGUAAGAUGUGACUUUUCUCCUCCUUCGCCUUCUGCCAUAAUUGUGAGUCCACAUGGAACUAUUUCAUUUCAUCUAGAAUUCAUGGACCAUAAGGGCUCCCGAAGAAAAGUCAGAAGCAACAUUGCUUAGUAUAUGGCAGAGAUCAAACUAUGGCCGAGGACUAGCUUGGGACUGCCUGUGCUUCUCAUUCCUGUCUGAGGAAAGGUGGGGAGGGCUCAGAAGUGCACAGAGAGAAGGUGUUCGAUAUUGUAUAAUGUUUGACCUGCAGCCAUCUGUUCACUCAACUUAUGCAUUUACUUUUGUUCAAGCAACAAAUAUCUCUGGCUUCCCUACUAUGCCAGACACUCUCCUAUAUACAGAGGUGGAGAAAAUAAACUCUGUUCUCAUGGAGUUAACAGUGUGAAGGGAGAGAAACAACAAGGAAUAAAUGAAUAAAUAAAAUGCAUUUGUGGCAAAUGCUAUGAAAGGAAAAAUAGUACCUUGUGAAAUGAAGCUCUUCGAUGAAAACUUCUAAUGCAGGGGUGGAUGGUACUGGCAUGUAAUCCCCACAUUUUUUUUUUUUUUUUUGGUUGAGAACAAUAUUUCCACCACUCAGCGACAACCCUGAACUCCAACAAACCCUGUAGAAACAAAACAAGAAGAGGGCAAAAUCAAGUUUGUCACAGGGAUACACAUAGACGUCUCACAGCGGGAAUUUAAAACCCUGGUUUCUCAGGGGACUGUCUUUAUAUUCACCACCAGAGCACCUGAUGGGGUAAAACAAAGUAGGUGAUAACUAUCAUGGAUUUGGCACAACUGGGGACAGUGAUAGAGUCUGCACUUGUCAACAAGAUAGACAAGAAAACUGGGCACGAUUUUGACCAAAGAGAGCUAAGAAGGGCGAGUUACAGGGAUCAGAAAAACAGGGUAAUGAUGACCAAGUGCACGUGUCUGUAAUGUUUUCUUAUUCCCUGGUAACCUUAUGACAUAGUUCUAAUUCAACCACAAAUAUAACAGAGGAGCAUGAGCCUAUAAUAUGUCACGUAUUUUAUUAUGUUUUAUUAUAUGCCACAUUAAGUCUGUAUUUGUGGCCAAAAACAUAAAAUAGCACUGCUUUUAGACACAGCAAGAUUAUAUACUCCUACAGGAAAAGAGCUUUGGAAAGUUCAUCUAAUCUUCUUUGUUUUCCAAUUUGAAGCAGAGAUGAAUAACUGAAAGCUUUCAAUGUGGACAUCAGUGAGGACAUUUCUCCAGGACCUUUGCCUGAAAGACUUACCUGGGAUUCCUAGAGUUUUAAUUAUUCAUUCUUAGUAGGCCAUAGGGGUCAGCCUGUAUAGAGAAUCUGAAAACCAGAACAAGAUUAGAAGGUGGUAUCAGACUACUGUAUAUAGCAGAGUUUCCACAGUCAAACAUAAGGCUUGAAAUCCAAGCUUAACUAAUUGCUAUGUGAACUUUGGCCAAUUACUCAAGCACUAUAUUAGUCAGGACCUAACUGGGAUUCAGAUGCCACAUGAAUAUUUAAGCAGAAUGACUUUAAUGCAGAAUUUGCACAGGUGAUGAACCAGCUUAGAAGCCUAAUAGAAGAUAGCAAUUCUGACAUUAGCAAUAGCACGAGCCACCACUCCCUUAGACCAGAGGGAAAAGAGGGAGGGAGUGGUGAUGCUACAGCUAGAAGACUAGGAUUAUUUCAGAAGCUGGCUCCAUGGCAGGUCUCAUUGUCAGAAGCUGAAACCAAAGAAGAGAUGUAGACGCUGCAAGGGACACAGACAGAAACAAGGGGGUAGAAAGAUCUGCCUCCCUUCUAUUGGCUACCCCAAUCUCUCUUCAGUGUCUGCAAAUGACCAAAUCAAGCCAGAAAUUCACUGACACAGAAGCCUGGAGAACACAGGCUGAAGGUGUCAGCUGUCCUGCAAUAUAGAGCUCAGCUCAAUGUGGGCACGUGAUCCUGAGGUUGUUAUUCUUAAAACCGUCAUUGUCAAGAAAUAUUUAAAAUGUAGUCAGUGGUAUGCUGAUAAAUGUAUAACAAUUGACUUUCCUUGGGGAGAGCCCUGACUUGCGUAGCUGGUUCCUAUGGUGUGGAUACUUUCAUCAUGUCUAAUUUCCAACUGCCUAUGUGAAGGCACUGAACAUGGCACUGUGAAGAUUGGCUCAUACACGUGGGUAUAAGUUGGCUCUAGAACAACACUGAAAGUAGGCAUAUAAAGAAAAUAGCAGAAAUACUCUACAGAUCCAGUAGAAAAAAAAAAUGCCACUACUAGUGGUUGAAAAUUGCAGGGAAAUAGGGUUUGGGGCUCUCUUUAACAAAAACUACUAAAAUUUGGACUAUCCCCUUGUGAGUCCAUAUAUUCUUCACAAUUGGGGCCACAUUCACUAGAUACCUGGUAAUUCUUUACAGAUAUUUUUUACAAACUCUGUAUUGCACAGCCUUGAUGGUUCAUGUGUUUGCUAUCCAGAGAGGAAUCCCAAACUUCUAUAUUGUUUUGGAGCCAGGUUGUAAUCCCUUGUCUAUAUAACUUUUCCUGACAUUGGAGAGGUGACUCUCAAUAGGAAUUGUUUUGCAUCUCAUUUUUGAUGCUAUCUUGAUGCUUCCUCUUUUCCUUCCUUCAGUUUAUAUCAGACUGUUUCUCCCCGCAUGUCUCAUUACCUUUGUCAUCUUGUCAUUGAACAAAGCAAGGGGAAACUAACAUAGCUCUUCAGAGUGCUUAUGCUUGGGUUUCUGAUUUCUGACUCUAUGGUUAUGUGAAAGCCCUACAGCCAUCAAUAGACUAGUCAAUUCUUCUAAGGAGCAAUCCACAGACUUGUUGAAUUACUAUUGCUUUCGACAAUUUAGGAGGCAAUCUCUUGGGCACACAUCAAUCCUUGUACCUUAGUGUGGGAUUGGCAAGUCUGAAAACAUGCUAGAGAAUGCACACCUGGUAUCUGGAAAUACAAAUAUUCUAAUAUAUGGUCAAAUUUAUAUGAGUAAAAUAUCCUUAGCAAAAUGUGUCUCUUUUAUUUUCUCUGUUUUACAUAUUGUGUUGGAAUCAAUCAAGAGUUAGCCCAUUUAU